RNAcentral lists this ribosomal RNA (492 nucleotides) under Opisthotropis laui (Lau's mountain stream snake). RNAcentral's name for it is "partial 12S ribosomal RNA". It matches the Rfam family "Microsporidia small subunit ribosomal RNA", at positions 752 to 1304 of the family's 1311-position model. The record is from RNAcentral. Lineage: Eukaryota; Metazoa; Chordata; Lepidosauria; Squamata; Natricidae.
GCCUAGCCUAACACACAAUAAAUAACUAAUUGUUCGCCAAAUAACUACGAGUAAAAACUUAAAACUUAAAAGACUUGACGGUACUUCACACCACCCUAGAGGAGCCUGUCUAAUAACCGAUACACCACGAUUAACCCAACCUACCCUAGCCAAACAGUCUAUAUACCGCCAUCGCCAGCUUACCUUGUGAAAGCAACAAAGUAAACACAACAGCCCUUCACUAAUACGAUAGGUCGAGGUGUAACUAAUGGGUGGGAAAAAGAUGGGCUACAUUUUCUAAUACAGAAAACACGAAUAGACUAUGAAAAUAGAAACCGAAGGCGGAUUUAGCAGUACGUUAAGGACAAUAUGCUUAACCGAAAUAAACGCAAUGAAGUGCGUACACACCGCCCGUCAUCCCUGCCAAAAACAACUAAACUCCAUAAACACAAUAAACUAACUAAACAGGGCAAGUCGUAACAUGGUAAGCGUACUGGAAAGUGCGCUUAGAAA